Molecule: transfer RNA, 76 nt
Filed under: Shewanella frigidimarina
Lineage: Bacteria; Pseudomonadati; Pseudomonadota; Gammaproteobacteria; Alteromonadales; Shewanellaceae
Also listed under: 14 other names
Description: tRNA-Lys
Rfam family: tRNA
About the family: Transfer RNA (tRNA) molecules are approximately 80 nucleotides in length. Their secondary structure includes four short double-helical elements and three loops (D, anti-codon, and T loops). Further hydrogen bonds mediate the characteristic L-shaped molecular structure. tRNAs have two regions of fundamental functional importance: the anti-codon, which is responsible for specific mRNA codon recognition, and the 3' end, to which the tRNAs corresponding amino acid is attached (by aminoacyl-tRNA synthetases). tRNAs cope with the degeneracy of the genetic code in two manners: having more than one tRNA (with a specific anti-codon) for a particular amino acid; and 'wobble' base-pairing, i.e. permitting non-standard base-pairing at the 3rd anti-codon position.
Source: RNAcentral
GGGCUGUUAGCUCAGUCGGUAGAGCAGUUGGCUUUUAACCAAUUGGUCGAAGGUUCGAAUCCUUCACAGCCCACCA